RNAcentral lists this ribosomal RNA (468 nucleotides) under uncultured bacterium. RNAcentral describes it as "partial 16S ribosomal RNA". It matches the Rfam family "Bacterial small subunit ribosomal RNA", at positions 28 to 507 of the family's 1533-position model. The record is from RNAcentral.
GACGAACGCUGGCGGCGUGCUUAACACAUGCAAGUCGAACGGAAAGGCCCUGCUUUUGUGUGGUUCUCGAGUGGCGAACGGGUGAGUAACACGUGAGUAACCUGCCCUUGACUUUGGGAUAACUUCAGGAAACUGGGGCUAAUACCGCAUAGGAGCUCCUGCUGCAUGGUGGGGGUUGGAAAGUUUCGGCGGUUGGGGAUGGACUCGCGGCUUAUCAGCUUGUUUGUGGGGUAGUGGCUUACCAAGGCUUUGACGGGUAGCCGGCCUGGGAGGGUGACCAGCCACAUUGGGACUGAGAUACGGACCAGUAUCCUACGGGAGGCAGCAGUGGGGAAUAUUACACAGUGGGCGGAAGCCUGAUGCAGCAACGCUGCGUGCGGGAUGACGGCCUUCGGGUUGUAAACCGCUUUCGCCUGUGACGAAGCGUGAGUGACGGUAAUGGGUAAAGAAGCACCGGCUAACUACGUG